Molecule: long non-coding RNA, 524 nt
Filed under: Olea europaea subsp. europaea
Lineage: Eukaryota; Viridiplantae; Streptophyta; Magnoliopsida; Lamiales; Oleaceae
Source: RNAcentral
GAGCUUUAAGUUCAGCGACCAAGGCAAUCAGUAUCCAAAAUGCAACGUCAUUAAAGUAUUGCUUGUUGAAUCGCACAUGCUAAGUUCUGAGCUGAUGGAACAAAAGUGUUAAAGCAUGAUCUUCCAUUUACAAAAUCAUUGAAACAUAUUUUGCUUAUACUUGGUCUCUGUGAAGAGAUGUCCAGCUUCUCAUUCACUGUCGAGUAAGAAAGUUAGUGACCUUGUCAAUCCCCACAAGAAGCAGAAUGGCUUCACAACAUGUAUGACAUCCAUAUAGCAAAAGUUGACUGCUGGCCUCAAAACCAGGAUCCANAAUGAUGGUGGCAACAUGUGAAAGCAUGUGCUUCCUUGUGAGAUCCGUUUGAAUAGAUGCAUAUCAUUCAUUGACUUGCCACCUCGAAAAGGUGUGAAUACCAUAUCAUGUCAUUGGGCAUGAUAUGAAGUGCAAUAACAAUGAUGUAAGUUUGUAAAGUGUUGUAGAUGAUGCCACGUGAUUUGAAGAAGAUGUCAUGUGGCCAAGAAUA